Molecule: long non-coding RNA, 429 nt
Filed under: Homo sapiens (human)
Lineage: Eukaryota; Metazoa; Chordata; Mammalia; Primates; Hominidae
Description: HSALNT0348335
Source: RNAcentral
GGAUUACAGGCGUGAGCCACCGCGCCCUGCCACAAGAGGGUAAGGAAACUGAAAUAUGACAAGGUUAAAUGAUUCAGAUGAGGGGCCGGAAAGCACGCCUCCCGAGACCCAUUCCUGGAAGCGGGUCUUUAAAGCUGCUCUCAGUUUAAAAUCAACCAAAUGCUCAGAUAUCAGAUGCGGAAACUGAGGCACAGGGAAUUUGAACAACUUGCUCAAGGUCAUAAAGCUAGAAGGAGGCACAGCCAAGCAUGGGCUUGUGUGACCUCAAAGCCUAUGUUCUCGCCACUGCUCUAAACUGUUUAUUCUGUUGGCUUGUCAUAAUGAUUGAAGACAAUGUAUAUAAAUCACAGAGGGUAGGACUCAGCUUGUAAUAUGUCCUCCAUACAUUUUAUCGAACAUUAUUAAUUAAUAAACAACAGAUAAAUAACA